UUUUAUUGCGAAGAACCUUACCUAAGCUUGACAUCCUUUUGACCGAUGCCUAAUCGCAUCUUUCCCUUCGGGGACAGAAGUGACAGGUGGUGCAUGGUUGUCGUCAGCUCGUGUCGUGAGAUGUUGGGUUAAGUCCCGCAACGAGCGCAACCCUUGCCUUUAGUUGCCAGCAUUAAGUUGGGCACUCUAGAGGGACUGCCAGGGAUAACCUGGAGGAAGGUGGGGAUGACGUCAAAUCAUCAUGCCCCUUAUGAUUAGGGCUACACACGUGCUACAAUGGGUGGUACAAAGGGCAGCCAAGUCGUGAGGCCGAGCAAAUCCCAAAAAGCCAGUCUCAGUUCGGAUUGUAGUCUGCAACUCGCCUACAUGAAGCUGGAGUUGCUAGUAAUCGCGGAUCAGCAGCCCGAUUUCC
RNAcentral lists this ribosomal RNA (412 nucleotides) under uncultured bacterium. RNAcentral describes it as "bacterial SSU rRNA". It matches the Rfam family "Bacterial small subunit ribosomal RNA", at positions 954 to 1363 of the family's 1533-position model. The record is from RNAcentral.